RNAcentral lists this long non-coding RNA (5642 nucleotides) under Salmo salar (Atlantic salmon). RNAcentral's name for it is "lncRNA (ENSSSAG00000088703.1)". The record is from RNAcentral. Lineage: Eukaryota; Metazoa; Chordata; Actinopteri; Salmoniformes; Salmonidae.
CAUCAACCACGCCUCUAAACAACUAUGUUCGGUUGCACCAGCACCUCGUUGUUUGAAUCUGCACUCUGCAUUUUGCUUCUUUCUUCGCUCACUCAUGCUCCUCUCCUGCCUGCCUACCUCGUGAGAGUGCGAACACAUAUUUUCAUGAAAUACAAGGUGUGUUAAUAAAAGCAGUUAAUAAAAGCAGUUUAGUCAUCCUCUAAAACUAUCUAGAAUGAUCCAAUCUAUAGCUAACAAAACAACUAACGUUUUCUUAAGUAGCCUAAAUAGAUAGUUAGCUAGCUAGCAUUAGCUAGCUAGGUUGAUGCAAUCAUGCAGCCAGUAGCUAACAUUAAUAAUUUAGACUCACUGAAUAAAUGUGUUUGGCACAGGAUAAAGAAGAUGAAACAAUCUGCUACUGCUACCCAAGACCAUUUUUUCAUCUACCUGACACAGUGCCUGGUGGACCAAAAAGUUAGUUUAAUAAAUGUCGCGGGUCAUUCCAAAACAACUCACGGACAUUUGUUUACACCUUGUGCAGUCAUGUUAAUUCAUUAGCUAGCUAAGAACCUGGCUACUUUACCGGUAUAUCUAAACAUUUGGGGGCACAGAAAUAAAGGGAAAAGGAUAGCUUCUUUAGAAGAUCAAUGAUCAUAGCAAUGAAUGAAUGACUGAUCUCUUGCAUGUCAACACUCACGAACUUGACGCUCUUAAAGAGACAGUGUAGAAUUUUCAAUGUAAUGCAUCAAAAUAGGUAUUGCUUUUACACAAUGUAGAAACCUAAUAUUCCUCAAAUGAAAUGUGUAAUUUCAAUGACAGAUUUUUGUAUCAACAUUUUAGCUUUUUAUAAUAAACAAAUGUCUUUACAUGGUUAACUCUUACAUCUAGAUGUUCCGCUAGCGGAACACCGCUCCAAUAUCCAAUGAUAGGGCGUGGCACGAAUUACAAAUUCCUCGAAAAUCCGAAAACUUCAAUUUUUCAAACAUAUGACUAUUUUACACCAUUUUAAAGACAAGACUCUCCUUUAUCUAACCACACUGUCCGAUUUCAAAAAGGCUUUACAACGAAAGCAAAACAUUAGAUUAUGUCAGGAGAGUAUCCAGCCAGAAAUAAUCAGACACUACCACUAGAGUGAAAGCACAGCCAGCAUUCAAAAGUGACCAAAACAUCAGCCAGGAAGCAUAGGAACUGAGAAGUGGUCUGUGGUCCCCACCUGCAGAACCACUCCUUUAUUGGGGGUGUCUUGCUAAUUGCCUAUAAUUACCACCUGUUGUCUAUUCCAUUUGCACAACAGCAUGUGAAAUUUAUUGUCAAUCAGUGUUGCUUCCUAAGUGGACAAUUUGAUUUCACAGAAGUGUGAUUGACUUGGAUUUACAUUGUUUUUGUUUAAGUGUUCCCUUUAUUUUUUGAGCAGUGUAUAUAUAUUCUGGUUCUCCUAGAUUUUAUGUUGUGCUCCUAACUUUUUAAAGUUGGGAGCACUAGUGCUUCAAUGAAAAUGUUUAAUUUAAAGCCCUGGAGAUGUAACUUUUGUUAAGUAACUCAGGUGUUAUAUGAGGUGAACAGAAUACUGGAGUAGGACUUAAAAUAAUACAUUAUUUCAGAAGAACACUAAUCAGAUGAUGAAGAAAUUGGUUUUACGACACAUUAGAACAAAGUCUACUGUUGUCACAAGCGUCGUAUGGAGUGGACCAAAAUGCAGCGGGUAUAUGAAUCAUCUUCUUGUUUUAUUGAAAGAAAAUGAACACUGAACAAAAGAACGACAAAAACAGUCCUGUAAGGUACACUGACUAUACAUGGAGAGAACCACCCACCAAAAGAGGACCAAGCAGCGGAGGAAGGAGCAGCAGAGGAGCUAUAAGGAGUCAUGGACCUGGGAGGAGAUCCUGGAUGGGGCAGGACCAUGGCACCAGCCUGGGGAGUACCGGCACCCUAAGGAGGAGCUGGAGGCAGCCAAGGCGGAACGGCGCCAUUACGAGGCGUUAUACGCACCGAGUGGCAAGUGCGAAACAUUUUUGGGGGGGGCACACGGGUACUGUGGCUAAGUCAGGUCGGAGUCCUGAGCCAACUUCCCGUGCUUAUUAUGGGGAGUGACGGAUCAAGAAAGCACCGAGCUAUGCGGAAAUGCGCACUGUAUUGCCCAGACGCAUUCAAAGGCUGGUGCAAUCGGUGAAAGCUCCUCAGCGUUGCCAGGCUAGGUUGAGCACUCAGCCAGGAAGGGUUGUGCAGGCUGUAUGCUCCAGACCGCCAGUGCGUCUCCAGGACCCAGUGUACCCUGUUCCUGCUUCCCGCACUAGCCCUGAGGUGCGUGUUACUAGGCUGGCCCCUCCAAAGCCAGCCCCACCCAUCAGGCCUCCAGUGCGCCUGCCCAGUCCAGUACGUCCUGUUCCUGCUCCUCGCACUAGCCAUGAGAUGUGUGUCCCUAGUCUGACGCCUCCAAAGCCAGCCCCACGCAUCAGGCCUCCAGUGCGCCUGCCCAGUCCAGUACGUCCUGUUCCUGCUCCUCGCACUAGCCCUGAGGUGUGUGUCACCAGUCUGGUGCCUCCAAAGCCAGCCCCACGCAUCAGGCCUUCAGUGCGCAGUCCCCAUUCAGAGCUUCCGGCGACAGUUCCCCGUCCAGAGCUUCCGGCGACAGUUCCCCGUCCAGAACUUCCGGCGACAGUGCCCCGUCUAGAGCUUCCAGCGACAGUGCCCCGUCUAGAGCUUCCGGCGACAGUUCCCCGUCCAGUGCUUCCGGCGACAUCCUACAGUACGGAGCUGACAGAGACGGCCCACAGUCCAGAGCCGACAGAGACGGCCCACAGUCCGAAGCCGACAGAGACGGCCCACAGUCCGGAGCCUUCAGAGAUGGACCACACUCCGGAACCGACAGAGUCGCCCUCCAGUCCAGCGCACAGUCCGGAGCCUGCAGAGACGGCCCACAGUCCGGAACCGACAGAGUCACCCUCCAGUCCGGCGCUGCCAGAGUCGCCCUCCAGUCCGGCGCUGCCAGAGUCGCCCGCUAGUCCGGCACAGCCAGAGUCGACUGCCAGUCCGGCGCAGCCAGAGUCCCCCGCCAGGCCGGCGCAGCCAGAGUCGCCCGCCAGGCCGGCGCAGCCAGAGUCGCCCGCCAGUCCGGCGCUGCCAGAGUCGCCCGCUGCGAGGGUCCCCAGUCCGGGGUCGGCGUCCCGCUCCUGAGCCAUCUCCAUAGGGGGGAGGAUUGGGAAGGGGGGGUGUUGCACAAGAACCGUCAGUGACGGUGGCCACCCUCCCUUCCCUCCCUUUAGUUUGGGGUUAUUGUUUUUUGUGAGUUUUUGUCUCAGGUGCAUUCGGGGUCUGCACCUUUGGGGUGGGUACUGUCACGUCCUGACCAGUAAAGGGGUCAUUUUGUUAUUGUAGUUGGUCAGGAUGUGCCAGGGGUGUGUUUGUUUUGUGUUGUUGGGUUUUUUGGGUACUGUUCUAUGUUGUUCUAUUUUUAUGUUCAGGGUUUUGGUUUGGCCUUCAAUUGGAGGCAGCUGUUCUUCGUUGCCUCUAUUUGGAGGCCAUAUUUAAGUAGGGGUUUUCAGCUUGUGUUUUGUGGGUGGUUGUCUCCGUGUAUAGUCAGUGUAUAUUAUAGGACUGUUUUCGUCGUUUGUUUUGUAUAAGUGUUUUGUUUUGGUUUUCUUCAAUAAAAGAAGAUGAGCAUUCAUAUACCCGCUGCAUUUUGGUCCACUCCAUACGACGAUUAUGACAACUGUGUAUGGUAUUAAAUGUAACCCUGCCUUACAUAAAGCUUACAAAAUAAAUAAUUGCAGAAGAGCACAGUAAUCAGAUAAACAGAUAAUAUAUGGCAUAAAAUUAAAAUACUUUUCUACAUUGAAACCUGUCUCUCUUUUUAAUAUUUCAAAGUCCACUGCUUAACAUUAUAUGUGUAUCGAGUGACAUUCAUAUUUAAAGACAUUGUAACCAUUCUGUGCAUAAUGCUCAGCCCUGCUAUAGUAGUUCACUAAACUACAGAGUAUGUUGUCCAUUUAAGUUUUUGUCUCUGGCUCUUUUGAUAACAGAUUCAGAAUGAAUAAUAACAAAGUUUGUGGUAGUUUGAAAUGGUUUGAUCCACCUUAGGCCAGGAGUGUUUCCAAUUCACAUGACCCGACAAGAAAAAACCCAGCCCUAUCGUCAUAGCACAGAUGAAAAAGUAAAACCUUCAUGCCCAGAAAAGACACAUACACAUUUUGCCACACCACUUUUGAACAUGUGGUGCCGCCUCUGCUUCAGACUGUUAAAAAUACAUAUCUGCAUCUUUCCUGAAUAUAUGACUUUUAGAUGCAUUUAUGUUCUCAGCAAAAUGCAAUAAACUGAAACCCAUUUUGGGACAUACAGUAUCUAUCUUAAGUUAUCUCAGUCUUCAUGGAGCAGACUAGAUAGUGGGCUGAUAGCAUAGUGUAGGUCAAGAGUUUGAACUUCAGAAUUUUAGAUACAUAUAGGAAGAAAGCCAUUGAUCCUCCUUAUCUAAGUAUUCAAUUAUUACAAUUACAUUUGCAUUCCUAUCCACUAUCAUUCUAUAUUUGCAUCAUCCUUAAAAUAUUUUGGAGCAGAGCAGCUGCUCUGCUUGAUGGUCAGUUCAAGGUGCCAGUGUCUGUUGGAGUCCUUCUGCAGGUUAGGCAGAUGUUCAUUAGCUGGAUAGCCAUUCAUCUUCGUAUGGAUAACAAUGGCCUGGCAGAAACUCAUGUUCUUUCAUGAGGGCAUCGUAUCCGGUUCUCGCGCCAGGUCAUAUUCCAUCCCUCACCUCCUGCUAUUAAAGUCCAAAUGUUGAAGGUGACAAACAUUCCAAUGGCAGAUAUUCUAUAUUAUACUAUGGGAUAUGUUUUUGCAUUUAUAUGGCAGCAUUAACAUACACUGAGUGAACAAAACAUUAGGAACACCUUCCUACUAAGGAGUUGCACCACUUUUUCUCCGUCAGAACAGCCUCAAGUCAUCGGUGCAUUGACUACAAGGUGUCAAAAGCAUUCCACAGGGAUGCUGGCCCAUGUUGACUUCAAUGCUUCCCACAGUUGUGACAAGUUGGCUGGAUGACCUAUGGGUGGUGGACCAUUCUUGAUACACACGUGAAACUGUUGAGUGUGAAAAACCAAGCAGCGUUGCAGUUCUUGACACACUCAAACCGGAGUACCUGGCACCUACUAACAUACCCCGUUCAAAGACUCUUGCCCAUUCACCCUAUGAAUGGCACACAUAUACAAUCCAUGUCUCAGUUAUCCCAGGGCUAAAAGUCCUUCUUUAACCUGUGUCCUCCCCUCCAUCUACACUGAUUGAAGUGGAUUUAAUAAGGGAUCAUAGUUUUCACGUGAAUUCACUUGAUAAGUCUAUGUCAUGGAAAGAGCAGGUGUUCCUAAUAUUUUGUACUCUCAGUGUAUGUUUUCCCGAUUACCCUUGUGUGCAGAUUAGUAGAUGUAAAAACAAGUACAUGUCAGUAGUUUAUUUCCCAUAGCAGGUCAAGCAAGUCAUUUACAAUACUAUUUUCAAAAUUUUUCGAUUAUGUAUUAAGCUUACAAUAAUAAUUACACAGCAAGGGCAUUGUAAUGUGAAGUAUGACCACAAGUUUUAACGUUUUGUCACUUAAUUUCCCCUGCCUAUGCAUCUUGGCUGGAGCUAUCACAUCAAGCAAAACCAUGGCGUGGUUACGUUUCUGUCUGCAAAACACAUUUAUG